AGAGUUUGAUCCUGGCUCAGGACGAACGCUGGCGGCGUGCCUAAUACAUGCAAGUAGAACGCUGAAGGAGGAGCUUGCUCUUCUGGAUGAGUUGCGAACGGGUGAGUAGCGCGUAGGUAACCUGCCUGGUAGCGGGGGAUAACUAUUGGAAACGAUAGCUAAUACCGCAUAAGAGUAGAUGUUGCAUGACAUUUGCUUAAAAGGUGCAAUUGCAUCACUACCAGAUGGACCUGCGUUGUAUUAGCUAGUUGGUGAGGUAACGGCUCACCAAGGCGACGAUACAUAGCCGACCUGAGAGGGUGAUCGGCCACACUGGGACUGAGACACGGCCCAGACUCCUACGGGAGGCAGCAGAAGGG
This 359-nucleotide ribosomal RNA is filed under the name uncultured Streptococcus sp. Its description in RNAcentral is "bacterial SSU rRNA". It matches the Rfam family "Bacterial small subunit ribosomal RNA", at positions 8 to 359 of the family's 1533-position model. The record is from RNAcentral. Lineage: Bacteria; Bacillati; Bacillota; Bacilli; Lactobacillales; Streptococcaceae.